GAUCUCUGGGGUGGAGUGAUGUCAAAGAUGUUCUGGAGUUCGGCUUCCGCAUCUUGGGCUUCGGUAUGGACCAUCUCGACCAUUGCACUUCAGCCUUCCAGCAUUUGGGCUACGUCACAGUUUUUGCUUUUGGAUGUUGAGUGUUCACCAUUCCUAGGGGCUUCGGCAAUCAUGCCACGUGGUUCGCACUGGGUGGGUCGAUCAUGUGUGUCAACACGUAAUAAAAUACCGUCACGUAUAUCACUCGUUCAUCUUUAUACUCAUCAAUCAUUUUCAUUUAAUUCAAAAUCACCAAAAUAACAAAUCAAGAUUAUAGUCAUAUCU
Molecule: long non-coding RNA, 324 nt
Filed under: Olea europaea (common olive)
Lineage: Eukaryota; Viridiplantae; Streptophyta; Magnoliopsida; Lamiales; Oleaceae
Description: long non-coding RNA (OEUR_LNC010368)
Source: RNAcentral